Long non-coding RNA from Pezoporus occidentalis (night parrot), 2907 nucleotides. RefSeq lists it as uncharacterized. The record is from RefSeq and is a predicted model, not a curated record. Lineage: Eukaryota; Metazoa; Chordata; Aves; Psittaciformes; Psittacidae. The transcript has 3 exons.
UUGUGUGUGUUUUUUUUUCUUUUUUUUUUCCUGUUGCUCUAAACUGCAUAAUCAGGAGAGGAAAAGAUCCAAAACUUCAGGGCAAUGCACAAGUGGAAGCUUAAAUUCUCAUUCCCAUAAAGCCGAUUUGUCUUUCAAGGUUUCAGGAUUUUUUUUCCUCUUCUUCUCCUGCUAUGCCUAAAUUUGGCCUUCUAAUAACAUUUUUAUAAUAUACCGUUACACAAAGAACACAGCAAAAUCAGUUCAGCUCAAGCCCAGCUGCUUGUAAAGGCUGGAUGAAGGAACUGUUUUUUCUUUGCACUCUGCUCAGUGUGUUUCUCAACACCUCUAAAUUAUUUUUUAUUUUUUAUUAUUUUAUUUUAUUUUUUUACAGGAAGAAUUGGGACAAGAUUUUCAUUUUGAGUUUAUAGGUCAGUUAUCUUUCGUCAGCUCUGCUCCAGAAGUGUGAGGAAGUAUCUCUAGGUCAGUAUCUGGUGACAAAAGAAGCCUUUUAAGACACAUUGCAGUUUCUUGCAAGUUCACCAUAGGAAUUCUCCUGAAGGAUGUAAUUUUCAUUAGUCCUGUUUGUAGAAAGAGGACAAAAUGUGGGCAUUUUGGAUACACUUAGAUAAUAUCCUAAGAGGAAGCUACCAGAGAUCGAAUCAUGUGCCUGUACACAGGCAUGUGGUACAUUUUGGAUGCUGUAGUAUAUUCUUUGAAGUGUAUGUCUUCUGUAUUCCUUCACGAUCCUCAAGAAGAUGUGUAUGCUACUGUAAGAGGUCAAAUAACAUACUAUGUCUAUGGUUUCAACACCUGAGCUAUUCCAUUGUUGUGGGACAUUUGACCUAAGGUGCAUAAAGAGAAUAUGUUCAGCCACAGAAACCCCUGUAUACAUUUGGUUAUACAAUUUAACCUACUACAAAACUAUAGAUUCCCAAGCAGGAAGCCAAAGGAAUUUCUCAGCACCUCUGCAGGAGCAGGGAUAAUGCACGCAAAGACUCUUCCUUGUGGAAAGAGAAAAGCAAUUAUUGGCAUGGUGAUGGUGAAUAAGCAAUGACUGUGCACUCUUUCAUCGAAUGUCUUCUGCUUCUAGUAAAUUAACAAGAGGCAAAUUGAAACAAUCAAAACAAGGUAGUUUUGUGCACAAUGCAGGAGCUGUGUAAUCCAUGAUCAUAGGAUACUGUGGAUGAUAAAAUUUACACAGCUUCAGGGAGAGUUGAACCGCAUGAAUUCAUGGAGGAAAAAUCCAUCUUAAGUUGUACUACUGGCAGUAUCUUGCUCAUGUGGACAGUGAAGAAAAUCUAAGAACUGGGGUACUUGUACUCUCCUUAAGCUGCUCCCAGCAAAGUGAGUUCCUGGCAAAGAAAACCACCAGGAAGAUGAGCAGUCAAGCCUGCUGAUUGUUGAAAGUGCAAAUUACUCAAAAUGGAACAGCAGCCCAGAAGACAAUACUGGCCUUCACGCGUUUUCCAGCCUGCUGUCAGUGACUUCAGCGCAUCCCCUCAGAGAUGUGUAGCAGGUGCCACAGGAAGGCAGCAGAUCAUGCAGAGCAAGAAGCUUAUGAGCCAAUGAGGAAUUUUGACACAAAAUAGUGCAUUUUGGAGAAGUGAUUUGACCACUCAGGGCUGGAGUCUUGCAAACAUUUAUUCUGCAUGAUGUAUGUGGUAAUUGUGACCCAGAAACAAAGCCAUAUGCCACAGGGCUCUAAAUGUAUACUCAAUUUUCCAUUUUCAUCAUAUAACAAUAGCAACAGUAAUCUAUUUAUAGACAAUGGCACGACAUUUCAUAACUGAUCAAGAUCAGUUCAGAGCAUCAGGUCCUGGCUAGGCAUUAAAGCUUCAGGAAAUAUCUCUCUGCUGCAUUAUCAUUGCCUUACUAUUUACAGCAACUAUCACAACCAUUUGUAUAAAUAUUUGCUUUCCUGAUACUGGCACCCCGAAGGAGUUCAGGUCAGGAUAUUGUCUGCAUAUUGUAUAGCAUUACAACAUGCAAGUAUUUAAGUGACUGUGGAAAAGAACAGGAGGCUUCAAAUCUGACUGAGAAAUGAAGGGGUCUGUCUUGGAGCACCUGCUCUGCACAGUUGGUUUUUAUUAAACAAUACAACGUGCAACUCUGCAGGAGGUCAGAGCAGAUGAUCUAAUGGGUCUUCCUGCCCUUGAAAUAUACAAACUACACCACUUUAAAGUUAGUGUCAGAGAAGCCAGUAAAAUGAAUUUAGGCUUGUCCAUUUAGAUUAUUACAAAAAGGUAUUUGGUGGAGCAGUUUCUCUGAUCUCUUUUAUUUCCAGUUUUGUUAUGGUGGGUAGAAGGAGAUACUUGGAUUCACCUAAGAAGUCUGCAUUCCCAAAUACAGUGUCGGUGACCAGACACUUCAGCAUUGUGAUAGGCACCGACUAAACUUUAUUCCUACUCAGUUUCACUUCCUGGGUUCUUUCCUUAUUAGGCUAAAUGAUGAGCAAAUUGUAAAAUAAAAAAUGCCCCAACUGUAUCAGCACAUUGGAAUUUAAGAACUCUUCCUCAUGUAAUGAGCUGAGGAAUUACAACACAAAGCACUCCUUUCUCUCAAGCUGACUGAUUAACAUAAUAAAGUUAAACUCAAAGCAGCUUGUUCUCAACUUGUAUUCAGCCUGAGGUGUUUUUCUUGUAUUUCAGACCUGACAAAGGGCUCAUGUGCCUGGAAGCACGUGCCUGCUAUUUUCCAGCUAUAUCAUUUGGUAUAAUUAAAAACCUUACCUCUUCCUACAAACUUCGCCACAGGAAUCUACAUGGCUAAGCAGGUUUUUUUCCUAUGUCAUUAUUUAAAUCUGGCACAAUCUUAAACCAUUAGAAUUAUGUAUGAUUUGCCAAAUUUCUGGUGUCACUGACCAUUACACCCAUAGUUGAAAGUUGGCAUCAGUUUCACAUAUGGAAAAUAUGCCCUGCAGCCAGA